CCUACGGUCCGACGACAUUUACACGAAAAUUUGGUACCCCUUGACCGAGUCGGCAGACUCGUAGUAGGUUGGGUUAGUCGGAAGUGUCGAGAGGGCCGCUUUGAUUCCUCCCUGCAUGCCCUCUCCACUGUCCACAACGGAGUACGCAAGAGCGUUCGUUGACCGGUACGAUAACGACAACCGUGACAACGACGAGACAUUACUGUCUCAACCGUUGCAGUUUCCGAAUUGCUAGGUGCUCUCAUCGUAGCAGCUAGACGUACGCGACGAGCUAAAGUUCGUCCCGUAGUGGCUGCUAGGUGCUCCUCGGAACUCGUCGACCUGGUUGUUGUGGGUGAAGACAGCUACCGCACCACACUUGACGUGGUGUUGUGCAGGCAAAGCGCAGAGCGCCGAACAGGAGUGGCCGGACCUAAAUCGUCCUGUUUAGUGGAGGAGAGAACCUUUGUACUGAAAGGAAGUUAGUGAGCUGGAAAAAAAAAACCUUCCAAGUUAGUGAGCUGGAACUCACCUUAUUGAAGCAGCCGGGGUAUGGAUAGGAACCGGCAGAGGUUGUCGACGUGUGUGAAGCCUUGCUCCACUGCUGUUAACGUUGGCUGCUACGGAAGCUGUUCCUCUGCCGUGGAUUCCACGGCGGCAGUAGGCGGUACUAGCUCCAGUUGUACCAAAA
Molecule: ribosomal RNA, 670 nt
Filed under: Triticum aestivum (bread wheat)
Lineage: Eukaryota; Viridiplantae; Streptophyta; Magnoliopsida; Poales; Poaceae
Description: partial small subunit ribosomal RNA
Source: RNAcentral